CUUGAGAUCAAAUCCCGGGGGUUAAGGGAAAGGGGAUGGAUUACUCCUCUUGUAACCCAUGAAGCGGAAAAAAAUGAAAAUACCAUGUUUCAAUAUCUUAUCUUUGUUAUUGGCUUUAAUAACUAUUAAGGAAAACAGCCUAAGGCGGUUGUUUAGAGCCGGCGCUGCCCUUUCUCCUGCUGCUACUGCUGAUAGACUCUCGGCUGGUCAUAGAAGAUGCUAUUAAAACUUUCAAAGUCUUCAGUCAAAGCUUAAAGGGUACUAGAAAGUUUCAAUCUGGAAUGGAAGUUGCUAUUUGUUUGUGAAAAUUCAUUGGCAGAAUUGGGGCCGAGUGGAUAAUUUCAGAUAUAAUUGCUGUUUUAUAUGUGUGGAUGCUUCUCUCCCUGUGUUAGAUCGAUGAUAUGUGGAAAAGCGAGUAGACAGCAUGAUGAUAUUUAUAGCCUGACUCAGAUUACACUCGGGGGUUGCGGCAGGCUAUUGGUGUACGCGAAUUUGAAGAUUUUCUUAGAAUAUUUCAUUCCAAUACAAAUGCAUCUCAUUCUUGUAUGACAGAUGCACAUUAUGACUCAAGUUCUGGGGGUGGCACGAGUACAUUGACAAACAAGGGAAAUAGAGAAUUUGAGGGCUAUUUUGGAUUUCUCUGAUGAUGACUAUUACAAAAUUAUCUUACAAGAAGCUUUUGACAAGCUAAAAGCAAAUACCAGAAGACUUGUUCGUCGUCAAGUUUAAGUGGAUCUACAUUGGAAGAUGUGCUGCAUUAUUUGACAAAUUGAAUGUUUUCGAAGUCCUUGUAUUUUUUUAUAUAUCAAUUGG
This is a non-coding RNA of Nelumbo nucifera (sacred lotus), 813 nucleotides long. NCBI's taxonomy places the organism in Eukaryota, Viridiplantae, Streptophyta, Magnoliopsida, Proteales, Nelumbonaceae. The record is from RefSeq and is a predicted model, not a curated record.